UGCAAGUCGAGCGGUAGCACAGAGAGCUUGCUCUCGGGUGACGAGCGGCGGACGGGUGAGUAAUGUCUGGGAAACUGCCUGAUGGAGGGGGAUAACUACUGGAAACGGUAGCUAAUACCGCAUAAUGUCGCAAGACCAAAGUGGGGGACCUUCGGGCCUCAUGCCAUCAGAUGUGCCCAGAUGGGAUUAGCUAGUAGGUGGGGUAACGGCUCACCUAGGCGACGAUCCCUAGCUGGUCUGAGAGGAUGACCAGCCACACUGGAACUGAGACACGGUCCAGACUCCUACGGGAGGCAGCAGUGGGGAAUAUUGCACAAUGGGCGCAAGCCUGAUGCAGCCAUGCCGCGUGUGUGAAGAAGGCCUUCGGGUUGUAAAGCACUUUCAGCGGGGAGGAAGGC
This 398-nucleotide ribosomal RNA is filed under the name Klebsiella pneumoniae. RNAcentral's name for it is "bacterial SSU rRNA". It matches the Rfam family "Bacterial small subunit ribosomal RNA", at positions 56 to 452 of the family's 1533-position model. Lineage: Bacteria; Pseudomonadati; Pseudomonadota; Gammaproteobacteria; Enterobacterales; Enterobacteriaceae. The record is from RNAcentral.